Molecule: ribosomal RNA, 950 nt
Filed under: uncultured Bacillota bacterium
Lineage: Bacteria; Bacillati; Bacillota
Description: bacterial SSU rRNA
Rfam family: Bacterial small subunit ribosomal RNA
Source: RNAcentral
UGGAUCCAGACUUUGAUCCUGGCUCAGGAUGAACGCUGGCGGCGUGCCUAAUACAUGCAAAUCGAACGAAACUUCUUUAUCACCGAGUGCUUGCACUCACCGAUAAAGAGUUGAGUGGCGAACGGGUGAGUAACACGUGGGCAACCUGCCCAAAAGAGGGGGAUAACACUUGGAAACAGGUGCUAAUACCGCAUAACCAUAGUUACCGCAUGGUAACUAUGUAAAAGGUGGCUAUGCUACCGCUUUUGGAUGGGCCCGCGGCGCAUUAGCUGGUUGGUGGGGUAAAGGCUUACCAAGGCAAUGAUGCGUAGCCGAACUGAGAGGUUGAUCGGCCACAUUGGGACUGAGACACGGCCCAAACUCCUACGGGAGGCAGCAGUAGGGAAUCUUCCACAAUGGGCGAAAGCCUGAUGGAGCAACGCCGCGUGGGUGAAGAAGGUCUUCGGAUCGUAAAACCCUGUUGUUAGAGAAGAAAGUGCGUGAGAGUAACUGUUCACGUUUCGACGGUAUCUAACCAGAAAGCCACGGCUAACUACGUGCCAGCAGCCGCGGUAAUACGUAGGUGGCAAGCGUUAUCCGGAUUUAUUGGGCGUAAAGGGAACGCAGGCGGUCUUUUAAGUCUGAUGUGAAAGCCUUCGGCUUAACCGGAGUAGUGCAUUGGAAACUGGGAGACUUGAGUGCAGAAGAGGAGAGUGGAACUCCAUGUGUAGCGGUGAAAUGCGUAGAUAUAUGGAAGAACACCAGUGGCGAAAGCGGCUCUCUGGUCUGUAACUGACGCUGAGGUUCGAAAGCGUGGGUAGCAAACAGGAUUAGAUACCCUGGUAGUCCACGCCGUAAACGAUGAAUGCUAAGUGUUGGAGGGUUUCCGCCCUUCAGUGCUGCAGCUAACGCAAUAAGCAUUCCGCCUGGGGAGUACGACCGCAAGGUUGCAACUCAAAGGAAUUGACGGA